This 253-nucleotide ribosomal RNA is filed under the name uncultured bacterium. Its description in RNAcentral is "partial 16S ribosomal RNA". It matches the Rfam family "Bacterial small subunit ribosomal RNA", at positions 524 to 776 of the family's 1533-position model. The record is from RNAcentral.
UACGUAGGGGGCAAGCGUUGUCCGGAUUUAUUGGGCGUAAAGAGCUCGUAGGCGGUUCGUCACGUCGGCUGUGAAAUCCCGAGGCUCAACCUCGGGUCUGCAGUCGAUACGGGCGGACUGGAGUACUGCAGGGGAGACUGGAAUUCCUGGUGUAGCGGUGAAAUGCGCAGAUAUCAGGAGGAACACCGGUGGCGAAGGCGGGUCUCUGGGCAGUAACUGACGCUGAGGAGCGAAAGCGUGGGGAGCGAACAGG